RNAcentral lists this ribosomal RNA (253 nucleotides) under uncultured bacterium. RNAcentral's name for it is "partial 16S ribosomal RNA". It matches the Rfam family "Bacterial small subunit ribosomal RNA", at positions 524 to 776 of the family's 1533-position model. The record is from RNAcentral.
UACGUAGGGGGCUAGCGUUGUCCGGAUUUAUUGGGCGUAAAGAGCGUGUAGGCGGCCAAGUAGGUCCGGUGUGAAAACUCGAGGCUUAACCUCGAGAUGUCAUCGGAAACCAUUUGGCUAGAGUCCGGAAGAGGAAAGUGGAAUUCCUGGUGUAGCGGUGAAAUGCGUAGAUAUCGGAAGGAACAUCAGUGGCGAAAGCGGCUUCCUGGACCAGCACCGACGUUCAGGCACGAAAGCGUGGGGAGCAAACAGG